GGGGGUGAAAAGGACUCGACUCAGGGCAAGAGGUGCAAGGUUGCAUGCAGGUGGGCAGGCCGGCCUUUAACAGGCUUGCAACCAAAUAAGCGCCAUAACUCCGUAUGCCGCUUAUGCCGGUUUUGCCGGCAUGACUCCCAUCUUAAACUAAAGAUGGGGCCCUUAAUAGGAAUGCCUCUCUCCUGUUAAGGGUUCGGUUUUGAGGCUAACCUCAAGGUCCUUUCUCCUGGGAUCUGAGGGACAUUUUACAGGAGAUGCGCCUUAAAGAGCCUGCCCUUUCGGCGCUUUAAGGCAAAGACAAAAGAAAAGGCUAAGCAUGUAGGAGCCUGUGCUGAAUCCCUGAGGACGCGGGUUCGAUUCCCGCCACCUCCACCA
This 375-nucleotide transfer-messenger RNA is filed under the name Caldifarciminota bacterium. It matches the Rfam family "transfer-messenger RNA". From Rfam's summary of the family: Bacterial tmRNA, also known as 10Sa RNA or SsrA, is named for its dual tRNA and mRNA-like properties. Its role is to liberate the mRNA from a stalled ribosome. Lineage: Bacteria; Pseudomonadati; Caldifarciminota. The record is from RNAcentral.